GACAGAGGGUGCAAACGUUGCUCGGAAUCAUUGGGCGUAAAGCGCACGUAGGCGGCCUGAUAAGUCGGGUGUGAAAGCCCUGGGCUCAACCCAGGAAGUGCACUCGAAACUGUCAGGCUUGAAUAUGGAAGAGGGUCGCGGAAUUCCCGGUGUAGAGGUGAAAUUCGUAGAUAUCGGGAGGAACACCAGUGGCGAAGGCGGCGACCUGGGCCAAUAUUGACGCUGAGGUGCGAAAGCGUGGGGAGCAAACAGG
This 253-nucleotide ribosomal RNA is filed under the name uncultured bacterium. RNAcentral describes it as "partial 16S ribosomal RNA". It matches the Rfam family "Bacterial small subunit ribosomal RNA", at positions 524 to 776 of the family's 1533-position model. The record is from RNAcentral.